RNAcentral lists this ribosomal RNA (565 nucleotides) under uncultured bacterium. RNAcentral describes it as "bacterial SSU rRNA". It matches the Rfam family "Bacterial small subunit ribosomal RNA", at positions 112 to 664 of the family's 1533-position model. The record is from RNAcentral.
AACACGUGGGUAACCUGCCCAUCAGAGGGGGAUAACACUUGGAAACAGGUGCUAAUACCGCAUAAUAGUCGACACCGCAUGGUGUUGAUUUGAAAGACGCUUUCGGGUGUUACUGAUGGAUGGACCCGCGGUGCAUUAGCUAGUUGGUGAGGUAACGGCUCACCAAGGCGAUGAUGCAUAGCCGACCUGAGAGGGUGAUCGGCCACACUGGGACUGAGACACGGCCCAGACUCCUACGGGAGGCAGCAGUAGGGAAUCUUCGGCAAUGGACGAAAGUCUGACCGAGCAACGCCGCGUGAGUGAAGAAGGUUUUCGGAUCGUAAAACUCUGUUGUUAGAGAAGAACAAGUAGGAGAGUAACUGCUCUUACCUUGACGGUAUCUAACCAGAAAGCCACGGCUAACUACGUGCCAGCAGCCGCGGUAAUACGUAGGUGGCAAGCGUUGUCCGGAUUUAUUGGGCGUAAAGCGAGCGCAGCGGUUUCUUAAGUCUGAUGUGAAAGCCCCCGGCUCAACCGGGGAGGGUCAUUGGAAACUGGGAGACUUGGGUGCAGAAGAGGAGAGUGG